CCUACGGGUGGCUGCAGUGGGGAAUAUUGGACAAUGGGCGAAAGCCUGAUCCAGCCAUGCCGCGUGUGUGAAGAAGGCCUUCGGGUUGUAAAGCACUUUCAGUGGGGAAGAAAGCCUUGGGGCUAAUACCCUCGAGGAAGGACAUCACCCACAGAAGAAGCACCGGCUAACUCCGUGCCAGCAGCCGCGGUAAUACGGAGGGUGCGAGCGUUAAUCGGAAUUACUGGGCGUAAAGCGCGUGUAGGCGGUCUGAUAAGCCGGUUGUGAAAGCCCCGGGCUCAACCUGGGAACGGCAUCCGGAACUGUCAGGCUAGAGUGCAGGAGAGGAAGGUAGAAUUCCCGGUGUAGCGGUGAAAUGCGUAGAGAUCGGGAGGAAUACCAGUGGCGAAGGCAGCCUUCUGGACUGACACUGACGCUGAGGUGCGAAAGCGUGGGUAGCAAACAGGAUUAGAUACCCGAGUAGUC
RNAcentral lists this ribosomal RNA (465 nucleotides) under Vreelandella stevensii. Its description in RNAcentral is "partial 16S ribosomal RNA". It matches the Rfam family "Bacterial small subunit ribosomal RNA", at positions 338 to 795 of the family's 1533-position model. Lineage: Bacteria; Pseudomonadati; Pseudomonadota; Gammaproteobacteria; Oceanospirillales; Halomonadaceae. The record is from RNAcentral.